AACGAACGCUGGCGGCGUGCCUAACACAUGCAAGUCGAACGAGACCUUCGGGUCUAGUGGCGCACGGGUGCGUAACGCGUGGGAAUCUGCCCUUGGGUUCGGAAUAACAGUUAGAAAUGACUGCUAAUACCGGAUAAUGUCUUCGGACCAAAGAUUUAUCGCCCAGGGAUGAGCCCGCGUAGGAUUAGCUAGUUGGUGAGGUAAAGGCUCACCAAGGCGACGAUCCUUAGCUGGUCUGAGAGGAUGAUCAGCCACACUGGGACUGAGACACGGCCCAGACUCCUACGGGAGGCAGCAGUGGGGAAUAUUGGACAAUGGGCGAAAGCCUGAUCCAGCAAUGCCGCGUGAGUGAUGAAGGCCUUAGGGUUGUAAAGCUCUUUUACCCGGGAUGAUAAUGACAGUACCGGGAGAAUAAGCCCGGCUAACUCCGUGCCAGCAGCCGCGGUAAU
Molecule: ribosomal RNA, 449 nt
Filed under: uncultured bacterium
Lineage: Bacteria
Description: bacterial SSU rRNA
Rfam family: Bacterial small subunit ribosomal RNA
Source: RNAcentral